CGAGUGGCGAACGGGUGAGUAACGCGUGAGGAACCUGCCCCAAAGAGGGGGACAACAGUUGGAAACGACUGCUAAUACCGCAUAAGCCCACGGGUCGGCAUCGACCAGAGGGAAAAGGAGCAAUCCGCUUUGAGAUGGCCUCGCGUCCGAUUAGCUAGUUGGUGAGGUAACGGCCCACCAAGGCAACGAUCGGUAGCCGGACUGAGAGGUUGAACGGCCACAUUGGGACUGAGACACGGCCCAA
RNAcentral lists this ribosomal RNA (244 nucleotides) under uncultured bacterium. RNAcentral's name for it is "partial 16S ribosomal RNA". It matches the Rfam family "Bacterial small subunit ribosomal RNA", at positions 92 to 334 of the family's 1533-position model. The record is from RNAcentral.